Manihot esculenta (cassava) is the source of this 661-nucleotide long non-coding RNA. RefSeq lists it as uncharacterized. NCBI's taxonomy places the organism in Eukaryota, Viridiplantae, Streptophyta, Magnoliopsida, Malpighiales, Euphorbiaceae. The transcript has 2 exons. The record is from RefSeq and is a predicted model, not a curated record.
AAGGGAUGUUGAUUAAAUUUUGAAAAAGAAAACUCUUAUUUGAAUUGAAGAAAAAUAAAAGAAAAAUGAAAGGAAAAUAAUUGUGCUUCUUUGAAAAAUGAUGAUCUUCAUUUCUUUUUCCUUUCAAGGGAAAAAAUCUAUUCCGCCCAUUUUUGUUUAUCUUUUUCUUUUGGUUUUUUCUUUUCAAGCCAAACAGAGGGCUAGGCCACCUGCCUUUGCCUUUUGCAAGCUGAUUCAAUCACAGCUGUUCAUUGUUUUCUGGAGAUAUAUAUAUAUUCUCAUGAUCAUCCAGAAUCAAGUAUUGGAAGAAGCAGAAAUGUUAAAGUGCGGCAGCUGCAGGUUGCACAGUGGAUUUUGUCUCCCAUUUUGUGCCCAGCUGCAUGGUUUUUCUCCUUUUUGGUUUGAGCUGGGGUGUGCUUUUUUUCAUCAAAAAGAGAGGCUUGGGAGAUGGGCUUAUUACAGCAGCGUUCCAGAGAUUUUCAAAAGCGACACUUUUCAAGUUUCCUGACAAUGGUCACUGCGUCCAGCCGAACAGUCUUUACAAAACAAUCACAAGCAAUAUCAAAGAACUUGCAACUUUCUUUCUUUCUUUCUUCUUGUGUAUCACAGAAGGUGAUAUUUCUCAAGUUUAAAUGCUAAAUAUGAACACAAACAGAUGCAA